This 292-nucleotide ribosomal RNA is filed under the name uncultured bacterium. RNAcentral's name for it is "partial 16S ribosomal RNA". It matches the Rfam family "Bacterial small subunit ribosomal RNA", at positions 505 to 796 of the family's 1533-position model. The record is from RNAcentral.
GUGUCAGCAGCCGCGGUAAUACGAAGGGGGCUAGCGUUGCUCGGAAUCACUGGGCGUAAAGGGCGCGUAGGCGGACUCUUAAGUCGGGGGUGAAAGCCCAGGGCUCAACCCUGGAAUUGCCUUCGAUACUGAGAGUCUUGAGUUCGGAAGAGGUUGGUGGAACUGCGAGUGUAGAGGUGAAAUUCGUAGAUAUUCGCAAGAACACCAGUGGCGAAGGCGGCCAACUGGUCCGAUACUGACGCUGAGGCGCGAAAGCGUGGGGAGCAAACAGGAUUAGAAACCCUCGUAGUCC